GUGAGGAAUAUUGGACAAUGGGCGCAAGCCUGAUCCAGCCAUGUCGCGUGCAGGAAGACGCAUCUAUGGUGUGUAAACUGCUUUUGUACGGGAAGAAACACUCCCUCGUGAGGGAGCUUGACGGUACCGUAAGAAUAAGGAUCGGCUAACUCCGUGCCAGCAGCCGCGGUAAUACGGAGGAUCCAAGCGUUAUCCGGAAUCAUUGGGUUUAAAGGGUCCGUAGGCGGUUUAAUAAGUCAGUGGUGAAAGCCCAUCGCUCAACGAUGGAACGGCCAUUGAUACUGUUAGACUUGAAUUACAAGGAAGUAACUAGAAUAUGUAGUGUAGCGGUGAAAUGCUUAGAUAUUACAUGGAAUACCAAUUGCGAAGACAGGUUACUACUUGUGGAUUGACGCUGAUGGACGAAAGCGUGGGGAGCGAACAGGAUUAGAAACCCGAGUAGUCC
This 445-nucleotide ribosomal RNA is filed under the name uncultured bacterium. RNAcentral's name for it is "partial 16S ribosomal RNA". It matches the Rfam family "Bacterial small subunit ribosomal RNA", at positions 354 to 796 of the family's 1533-position model. The record is from RNAcentral.